UGUCUAUACCUUAUGAACCUUGGAUUGGUAUGUCGAUGGAUUUUGUGUUAGGAUUACCUAGAACUAAGAAAAUAAGAGAUUCAAUCUUUGUUGUGGUCCAAUAGGUAUUCGAAAAUGGCUUAAUUCUUUGUUUGUCAUAGAACGGAUGAUGGCUUAAAUUGUUCUUUAGAGAAAUUGUACGUUUGCAUAGCAUUUCUAGGACAAUUGUUUUUGAUAAAGACACCAAAUUUCAUGUUCAAAAAAAGUGUUCAAAAAAAGACACCAAAUUUCUUAAGUCAUUUUUGGAGAAUAGUUUGAUCUAAAUAGAAUUAUAAAAGUAGAAUUAUAUAAGAGUUCUUUUUAGAAAUCAGAAUAUAUAUAUAUAUAUGUGUUGUUAUAAAAUAUAUUUAAUAUUUAAGAUAUCAAGAACUAUCAGUGGUAAGAAUGUGAUGCAUAUGAUAUUGGUAUAGAUGUUUUCUUGAUGCAUAUGAUAUUGGUAUAGAUGUUUUCUUGAUGCAAGAAAGUAAGCUCGUUACUUUCUUCAUUGAGAAAUUAGGUGAGCAAUUUUAAACUACCUAACGUGUGACAAUGAGUUGUAUGCUUUGGUUCGAGUUUUGCAAAUUUGGCAACACUAUUUUUGGCGUAAGGAAUUUGUCAUCCACAAGGAUCAUGAGUCUUUCAAACAUUUUAAAGGCCAGCAAAAACUGAACAAAAGACAUGCUAGGUGGGUUACGUUCAUAGAAGCAUUUUCUUAUGUCAUCCGCUACCAAAAACAUUGGGUGAUGAUUAUCUGUGAAUUUAUCUACGCCUGAAUCAUCUUCAUCUAAGGUAAAAGUGUCAAAGCUUCACAAGAGAAAGCAUCAGAUCACUGCGUUAUUCAUGGACAUGAAGCACAAGGAGACAGAGCUAGCAGAGAGACGUUUAAAAGGAUUGCUCACUAAAGCCGACACACAAGCUAAAUACGGAUGGUGACUUGCUCUUGUUUCUCUCAAUCUUGUGACAUUGGCAACUGACUUUCUGUAACUCAUUUCCUUGUAUGAAUGAAUCUACUCUCAGCAGAAUGCUUUGAUUGUCUCACAAGCUGUUUAUAAGGGCUUUAUCGAUUUGUAAA
This is a long non-coding RNA of Brassica napus (rape), 1090 nucleotides long. RefSeq lists it as uncharacterized. The record is from RefSeq and is a predicted model, not a curated record. Lineage: Eukaryota; Viridiplantae; Streptophyta; Magnoliopsida; Brassicales; Brassicaceae. The transcript is spliced from 2 exons.